Gallus gallus (chicken) is the source of this 634-nucleotide long non-coding RNA. Lineage: Eukaryota; Metazoa; Chordata; Aves; Galliformes; Phasianidae. The record is from Ensembl.
CUGCAACAUCUGGUCCUUGUGCCUAACUCACUGGUGGGGGCACAGCUAGCACAGCAGCAGGCUGUCAGACCUCUGAGGCUGCAUUUCAUGGGGUUUCAUUAAUAACAUUCCCAAUGUGAUUUUCUUUUUGUGUUCUCUUUGUAGAACACAGAAUGUAUUGUAGCCUUUUUCCAGCGCUUACUGGCUAUUUUAAUCAAACCCAGCACUGAACAGAGAAGAAAAAGAGGCAUGGAGGGGAUGUAGUCAUUUAUUAUUAUUAUUAUUUUUUUUGCACUGGACAAUGCUGGCAGAUCUUGUCUUUGCAUUAGGGCGAGGAUUUACCUCUCACCUGCAGCAGGAGCUGAACUGUGAAAUUUCUGUGGCAUCUUAAACGAAAAAAAGAAGUUGGGAUGAACUUGACCAGGUAUUUCUUCGUUUUGCAAAAUAUCAGCUGCAUUCACCAUGGCUCUUCAGAACUUUCAUCAGACACCUAGUUUUAUCUUUAAAGAUCUGGUGUUAUCUUCCGCUGCCUUUGCAAGAAUGCUAUGAAUGCAGAAGAUUAAAACAACGAGAGUGCUGCUCUUCAGUUCAAAAGACUGCUCCCACCAAACACUGUGUGGGUUUUUUACCUUAUUCUCCAGAAAAAAAAAGAAAA